UAACCACUUAUGAAGAUCAAAGAUCAUAGCUUUGCAUUGGGUUUCAGUCUAGUUGCCUGAGCCCAUUGCCCUCGGCAGAGGCGACGGCGACUUGAACGACGACGCGGAAUCGGAGGGUGCCGCCAUUGAUUGGAUUCAAUUGAUUGGACUUAGUCGUUGGCUGGGUGGACUUCAUCGGAGGACAAGCUAUUCGAGUAGGUGUGGCCGCGUGGGUGAGCUUCUCCGAGGACUUGUCGGAUCGGUGGGAGCUAAUCGUCGAGAUGGUACCGGGAC
RNAcentral lists this long non-coding RNA (273 nucleotides) under Rosa chinensis. RNAcentral's name for it is "sRNA RchiOBHm_Chr2g0162521". The record is from RNAcentral. Lineage: Eukaryota; Viridiplantae; Streptophyta; Magnoliopsida; Rosales; Rosaceae.